This is a long non-coding RNA of Arabidopsis lyrata subsp. lyrata, 398 nucleotides long. RefSeq lists it as uncharacterized. NCBI's taxonomy places the organism in Eukaryota, Viridiplantae, Streptophyta, Magnoliopsida, Brassicales, Brassicaceae. The transcript has 3 exons. The record is from RefSeq and is a predicted model, not a curated record.
CUCUCUCUCUCUCUCUCUCUCUCUCUCUCAGCCUCCAAUUUCACCAUCGUCGUUUAGAGAAUUUCUCCUUCAAAGCUUCAAAACCAAUUCCAACGACCUCUCUCUUUUUAGAUUCGACGGUGCGUUCCCGUCAAUCUCGCCGGAAGGUUUUGCUUUCUGGGUUUUUCUCUCUAAUCGCCGGAAGGAUCAAAAUUGAUUUCUAAGAAGAAUGAGAUUCAGAGUUUAACCUCGGAACACAUCAACAACUCCAAGCUAGUUCCUCCUCAUAUCUUAACAAGCCCUUCUUCUUUCCAAGACUUAAACCUAAGACUUAACCGAUGGAUGAUGAAGAAGAACAGUCUCCUAGUAGUGGUGGUGGUGGGCAAUCAUCAUCAUGUGCAUCCGAAUCUAGAAUGCUA